Lagenorhynchus albirostris (white-beaked dolphin) is the source of this 1327-nucleotide long non-coding RNA. RefSeq lists it as uncharacterized. NCBI's taxonomy places the organism in Eukaryota, Metazoa, Chordata, Mammalia, Artiodactyla, Delphinidae. The transcript has 2 exons. The record is from RefSeq and is a predicted model, not a curated record.
AGGUGGUCUACGAAACGGAAGCACCAGACUUUCUAAUAUCCUGGGUGGAGGACAGACGUGUACAGUUUGUACCCCCUUUUGACCGCUCACCCUCCUUGAAAACCAGGUGCCCGGGUGUCACACAACUCAGACGCUAUCUCCAGCAGCACACGUGCCCUGGGCGUCCCCACAGUGCAGACACGCUGAGGGACACCAGCCAGAGACGAAGCCUCUGCUGAGGACACUGAAAACACUUGAACUUACACCUGGUACGCAAUGCUUCGGUAUCCUGUCUUACUUAGAAAUUACCUAGGUAGACAGUGAUUGCCAUCAUUAACUCAAUUUAAUGUGCGUCCAAGCUGUACCCUGGAAUACUGUUAAAGUAAAAACAAUGUCAGAAUUCUAUUCAACUUAGUUGAAAACAAAUUUACAUUUCUCUUAACUUUAAACAUCAUGUAAGAGUAAUAUUAGCUGAUUUGAUAAGUAAACCUGUAGAAGUUCGGGGGGAAACCAAUUACAAUAAAAUGUAUCAAUGUUAUAUUGAUAUAUUGAUUAUUACAUGUAAUCAAUAUUAAGUAUAAUACUGAUAAAUCAGAGAAAAGACACAGCUUUUUAAAACCCCAAAUUAUUAAUUUAUCCUCAUUUGCCAAAGAUUUAUCUUAAUUAUGUGAACCUGCAUUCUUUUUUGUGAUACAGUUUAUGUAUAGGUUACAGGUGUACAACAUAGUGAUUCACAAUUUUUAAAGGUUAUACUCCAUUUAUAGUUAUUAUAAAAUAUUGGCUGUAUUCCCUGUGGUGUACAAUAUUACCCUUGUAGAUUAUUUAUUUUAUACAUAGUAGUUUGUACCUCUUAAUCCCCUCCCCGUCUUGCCCCUCCCCCUUCCCUCUUCCUCUGGUAGCUACUGGUUUGUUCUCUGUACCUGUGAGUCUGUUUGUAAACCUGUAUUCUUAAAACGUUUCUGAGUUUGGACUUCCUUGGUGGCGCAGUGGUUAAGAAUCCGCCUGCCAAUGCAGGGGACACGGGUUCAAGCCCUGGUAUGGGAAGAUCCCACAUGCUGCGGACCAACUAAGCCCACAAGUGCACCACAACUACUGAGCCUGCGCUCUAGAGCCCAUGAGCCACGACUACUGAGCCCACGUGCCACAACUGCUGAGCCCGCAUGCCACAACUACUGAAGCUUGCACUCCGCAACAAGAGAAGCCACCGCAAUGAGAAGCCCGCGCACCAUAACGAAGAGUAGCCCCCUCUCGCCGCAACUAGAGAAAGUCCGCGCACAGCAACGAAGACCCAACGCAGCCAAAAAUAAAUAAAUAAAUAAAAUUUGAGUUUCUUUCUGUGCAUUUAAAA